AACGAACGCUGGCGGCAGGCCUAACACAUGCAAGUCGAGCGCCCUUUCGGGGGAGCGGCGGACGGGUGAGUAACGCGUGGGAAUAUGCCCUUCUCUACGGAAUAGCCUCUGGAAACUGAGAGUAAUACCGUAUACGCCCUGUGGGGGAAAGAUUUAUCGGGGAAGGAUUAGCCCGCGUUGGAUUAGGUAGUUGGUGGGGUAAUGGCCUACCAAGCCGACGAUCCAUAGCUGGUUUGAGAGGAUGAUCAGCCACACUGGGACUGAGACACGGCCCAGACUCCUACGGGAGGCAGCAGUGGGGAAUCUUAGACAAUGGGGGCAACCCUGAUCUAGCCAUGCCGCGUGAGUGAUGAAGGCCUUAGGGUUGUAAAGCUCUUUCAGCUGGGAAGAUAAUGACGGUACCAGCAGAAGAAGCCCCGGCUAACUCCGUG
Molecule: ribosomal RNA, 431 nt
Filed under: uncultured bacterium
Lineage: Bacteria
Description: partial 16S ribosomal RNA
Rfam family: Bacterial small subunit ribosomal RNA
Source: RNAcentral